This 202-nucleotide RNase P RNA is filed under the name Gammaproteobacteria bacterium. Its description in RNAcentral is "partial RNase P RNA component class A". It matches the Rfam family "Bacterial RNase P class A", at positions 166 to 367 of the family's 367-position model. Rfam says of the family: Ribonuclease P (RNase P) is a ubiquitous endoribonuclease, found in archaea, bacteria and eukarya as well as chloroplasts and mitochondria. Its best characterised activity is the generation of mature 5'-ends of tRNAs by cleaving the 5'-leader elements of precursor-tRNAs. The record is from RNAcentral. Lineage: Bacteria; Pseudomonadati; Pseudomonadota; Gammaproteobacteria.
GGUAAGAGCGCACCGCGCGACUGGUAACAGAUCGCGGCACGGUAAACCCCGCCUGGAGCAAGACCAAAUAGGGGAGUAGCAGCAUAGCUGCGCCGCCGGUUCCGAGCGGACUCCCGGGUAGGUCGCUAGAGGCAGUCGGUGACGGCUGUCCCAGAUGAAUGGUUGUCGAUGACAGAACCCGGCUUAUUGCUGGCUCCUGCCU